UCGGGAAUUUUGGGCAAUGGGCGAAAGCCUGACCCAGCAACGCCGCGUGAAGGAUGAAGUAUUUCGGUAUGUAAACUUCGAAAGAAUAGGAAGAAUAAACGACGGUACUAUUUAUAAGGUCCGGCUAACUACGUGCCAGCAGCCGCGGUAAUACGUAGGGACCAAGCGUUGUUCGGAUUUACUGGGCGUAAAGGGCGCGUAGGCGGCAAUUCAAGUCAUCUGUGAAAUCUCCGGGCUUAACUCGGAACGGUCAGAUGAUACUGCUUUGCUAGAGUGCAGAAGGGGCAAUCGGAAUUCUUGGUGUAGCGGUGAAAUGCGUAGAUAUCAAGAGGAACACCUGAGGUGAAGACAGGUUGCUGGGCUGACACUGACGCUGAGGCGCGAAAGCCAGGGGAGCAAACGGGAUUAGAUACCCCCGUAGUCCCUGAGCGGGCUGGCAAGGCGCAU
RNAcentral lists this ribosomal RNA (447 nucleotides) under uncultured bacterium. RNAcentral describes it as "bacterial SSU rRNA". It matches the Rfam family "Bacterial small subunit ribosomal RNA", at positions 355 to 825 of the family's 1533-position model. The record is from RNAcentral.